RNAcentral lists this ribosomal RNA (2924 nucleotides) under Shigella sonnei. Its description in RNAcentral is "23S ribosomal RNA". It matches the Rfam family "Bacterial large subunit ribosomal RNA". The record is from RNAcentral. Lineage: Bacteria; Pseudomonadati; Pseudomonadota; Gammaproteobacteria; Enterobacterales; Enterobacteriaceae.
GGGUUGUGAGGUUAAGCGACUAAGCGUACACGGUGGAUGCCCUGGCAGUCAGAGGCGAUGAAGGACGUGCUAAUCUGCGAUAAGCGUCGGUAAGGUGAUAUGAACCGUUAUAACCGGCGAUUUCCGAAUGGGGAAACCCAGUGUGAUUCGUCACACUAUCAUUAACUGAAUCCAUAGGUUAAUGAGGCGAACCGGGGGAACUGAAACAUCUAAGUACCCCGAGGAAAAGAAAUCAACCGAGAUUCCCCCAGUAGCGGCGAGCGAACGGGGAGCAGCCCAGAGCCUGAAUCAGUGUGUGUGUUAGUGGAAGCGUCUGGAAAGGCGCGCGAUACAGGGUGACAGCCCCGUACACAAAAAUGCACAUAUUGUGAGCUCGAUGAGUAGGGCGGGACACGUGGUAUCCUGUCUGAAUAUGGGGGGCCCAUCCUCCAAGGCUAAAUACUCCUGACUGACCGAUAGUGAACCAGUACCGUGAGGGAAAGGCGAAAAGAACCCCGGCGAGGGGAGUGAAAAAGAACCUGAAACCGUGUACGUACAAGCAGUGGGAGCACGCUUAGGCGUGUGACUGCGUACCUUUUGUAUAAUGGGUCAGCGACUUAUAUUCUGUAGCAAGGUUAACCGAAUAGGGGAGCCGAAGGGAAACCGAGUCUUAACUGGGCGUUAAGUUGCAGGGUAUAGACCCGAAACCCGGUGAUCUAGCCAUGGGCAGGUUGAAGGUUGGGUAACACUAACUGGAGGACCGAACCGACUAAUGUUGAAAAAUUAGCGGAUGACUUGUGGCUGGGGUGAAAGGCCAAUCAAACCGGGAGAUAGCUGGUUCUCCCCGAAAGCUAUUUAGGUAGCGCCUCGUGAAUUCAUCUCCGGGGGUAGAGCACUGUUUCGGCAAGGGGGUCAUCCCGACUUACCAACCCGAUGCAAACUGCGAAUACCGGAGAAUGUUAUCACGGGAGACACACGGCGGGUGCUAACGUCCGUCGUGAAGAGGGAAACAACCCAGACCGCCAGCUAAGGUCCCAAAGUCAUGGUUAAGUGGGAAACGAUGUGGGAAGGCCCAGACAGCCAGGAUGUUGGCUUAGAAGCAGCCAUCAUUUAAAGAAAGCGUAAUAGCUCACUGGUCGAGUCGGCCUGCGCGGAAGAUGUAACGGGGCUAAACCAUGCACCGAAGCUGCGGCAGCGACGCUUAUGCGUUGUUGGGUAGGGGAGCGUUCUGUAAGCCUGCGAAGGUGUGCUGUGAGGCAUGCUGGAGGUAUCAGAAGUGCGAAUGCUGACAUAAGUAACGAUAAAGCGGGUGAAAAGCCCGCUCGCCGGAAGACCAAGGGUUCCUGUCCAACGUUAAUCGGGGCAGGGUGAGUCGACCCCUAAGGCGAGGCCGAAAGGCGUAGUCGAUGGGAAACAGGUUAAUAUUCCUGUACUUGGUGUUACUGCGAAGGGGGGACGGAGAAGGCUAUGUUGGCCGGGCGACGGUUGUCCCGGUUUAAGCGUGUAGGCUGGUUUUCCAGGCAAAUCCGGAAAAUCAAGGCUGAGGCGUGAUGACGAGGCACUACGGUGCUGAAGCAACAAAUGCCCUGCUUCCAGGAAAAGCCUCUAAGCAUCAGGUAACAUCAAAUCGUACCCCAAACCGACACAGGUGGUCAGGUAGAGAAUACCAAGGCGCUUGAGAGAACUCGGGUGAAGGAACUAGGCAAAAUGGUGCCGUAACUUCGGGAGAAGGCACGCUGAUAUGUAGGUGAAGUCCCUUGCGGAUGGAGCUGAAAUCAGUCGAAGAUACCAGCUGGCUGCAACUGUUUAUUAAAAACACAGCACUGUGCAAACACGAAAGUGGACGUAUACGGUGUGACGCCUGCCCGGUGCCGGAAGGUUAAUUGAUGGGGUCAGCGCAAGCGAAGCUCUUGAUCGAAGCCCCGGUAAACGGCGGCCGUAACUAUAACGGUCCUAAGGUAGCGAAAUUCCUUGUCGGGUAAGUUCCGACCUGCACGAAUGGCGUAAUGAUGGCCAGGCUGUCUCCACCCGAGACUCAGUGAAAUUGAACUCGCUGUGAAGAUGCAGUGUACCCGCGGCAAGACGGAAAGACCCCGUGAACCUUUACUAUAGCUUGACACUGAACAUUGAGCCUUGAUGUGUAGGAUAGGUGGGAGGCUUUGAAGUGUGGACGCCAGUCUGCAUGGAGCCGGCCUUGAAAUACCACCCUUUAAUGUUUGAUGUUCUAACGUGGACCCGUGAUCCGGGUUGCGGACAGUGUCUGGUGGGUAGUUUGACUGGGGCGGUCUCCUCCUAAAGAGUAACGGAGGAGCACGAAGGUUGGCUAAUCCUGGUCGGACAUCAGGAGGUUAGUGCAAUGGCAUAAGCCAGCUUGACUGCGAGCGUGACGGCGCGAGCAGGUGCGAAAGCAGGUCAUAGUGAUCCGGUGGUUCUGAAUGGAAGGGCCAUCGCUCAACGGAUAAAAGGUACUCCGGGGAUAACAGGCUGAUACCGCCCAAGAGUUCAUAUCGACGGCGGUGUUUGGCACCUCGAUGUCGGCUCAUCACAUCCUGGGGCUGAAGUAGGUCCCAAGGGUAUGGCUGUUCGCCAUUUAAAGUGGUACGCGAGCUGGGUUUAGAACGUCGUGAGACAGUUCGGUCCCUAUCUGCCGUGGGCGCUGGAGAACUGAGGGGGGCUGCUCCUAGUACGAGAGGACCGGAGUGGACGCAUCACUGGUGUUCGGGUUGUCAUGCCAAUGGCACUGCCCGGUAGCUAAAUGCGGAAGAGAUAAGUGCUGAAAGCAUCUAAGCACGAAACUUGCCCCGAGAUGAGUUCUCCCUGACCCUUUAAGGGUCCUGAAGGAACGUUGAAGACGACGACGUUGAUAGGCCGGGUGUGUAAGCGCAGCGAUGCGUUGAGCUAACCGGUACUAAUGAACCGUGAGGCUUAACCUUACAACGCCGAAG